RNAcentral lists this ribosomal RNA (253 nucleotides) under uncultured bacterium. Its description in RNAcentral is "partial 16S ribosomal RNA". It matches the Rfam family "Bacterial small subunit ribosomal RNA", at positions 524 to 776 of the family's 1533-position model. The record is from RNAcentral.
UACAGAGGGGGCAAGCGUUAUUCGGAGUUAUUGGGCGUAAAGGGCGCGUAGGCGGCUUGGCAAGUGGAAGGUGAAAUCCCUCGGCUUAACCGAGGAACUGCCCUCCAAACUGCUUCGCUUGAGACCGGGAGAGGUGAGUGGAAUUCCCAGUGUAGCGGUGAAAUGCGUAGAUAUUGGGAGGAACACCAGUGGCGAAGGCGGCUCACUGGACCGGUACUGACGCUGAUGCGCGAAAGCGUGGGGAGCAAACGGG